GGGACAGGCAGUGGUGAGGAAGAUGGAGAGGGGGAUUGCACCUCCCGGCCCGCGCCGGAGGAAGCGACAGCUGGAACAGCUGGCUGGGGAGCGGCUUGCAUGCCUGCGGUGCUUCCCCUUCCCUUCCCCCACCGCCCGCCGCCCGGUGUCCUAGAACCCAGGCAUCGCUUGAGCACGCCCCUUCUCUACCCCUUCCUCCUGGUCUCCCAUCCCGGAAGCUGAGUGUCCUGUCCUGUUCUGGGUGCCGGCGAUGGAACCCGGGCCUCUUGCAUGCUGGCCACACGCUGGACCCUGAGCUGAGCUGCACCCCAGCCCUGGGCGGGUGUCUUGAGAACGCAGCACCCGGAGUCGGAAGGCGAGCAGCGAAGUUUGGCGGUAGCGAGCGGUCGAGCCGGGGGCCCGGGCGCGGAGCAUGCAGGCCGGGCGGGCGCGGGGAGCGCGGGGGUGAGCGGGAGAGCGAGCGGAG
Molecule: long non-coding RNA, 466 nt
Filed under: Heterocephalus glaber (naked mole-rat)
Lineage: Eukaryota; Metazoa; Chordata; Mammalia; Rodentia; Bathyergidae
Description: lncRNA (ENSHGLG00100033703.1)
Source: RNAcentral